RNAcentral lists this ribosomal RNA (468 nucleotides) under uncultured bacterium. RNAcentral describes it as "partial 16S ribosomal RNA". It matches the Rfam family "Bacterial small subunit ribosomal RNA", at positions 28 to 507 of the family's 1533-position model. The record is from RNAcentral.
GACGAACGCUGGCGGCGUGCUUAACACAUGCAAGUCGAACGGAAAGGCCCUGCUUUUGUGGGGUGCUCGAGUGGCGAACGGGUGAGUAACACGUGAGUAACCUGCCCUUGACUUUGGGAUAACUUCAGGAAACUGGGGCUAAUACCGGAUAGGAGCUCCUGCUGCAUGGUGGGGGUUGGAAAGAUUCGGCGGUUGGGGAUGGACUCGCGGCUUAUCAGCUUGUUGGUGGGGUAGUGGCUUACCAAGGCUUUGACGGGUAGCCGGCCUGAGAGGGUGACCGGCCACAUUGGGACUGAGAGACGGCCCAGACUCCUACGGGAGGCAGCAGUGGGGAAUAUUGCACAAUGGGCGGAAGCCUGAUGCAGCAACGCCGCGUGCGGGAUGACGGCCUUCGGGUUGUAAACCGCUUUCGCCUGUGACGAAGCGUGAGUGACGGUAAUGGGUAAAGAAGCACCGGCUAACUACGUG